This 923-nucleotide ribosomal RNA is filed under the name Nocardiopsis sp. Its description in RNAcentral is "bacterial SSU rRNA". It matches the Rfam family "Bacterial small subunit ribosomal RNA", at positions 70 to 996 of the family's 1533-position model. Lineage: Bacteria; Bacillati; Actinomycetota; Actinomycetes; Streptosporangiales; Nocardiopsidaceae. The record is from RNAcentral.
UAAGGCCCUUCGGGGUACACGAGCGGCGAACGGGUGAGUAACACGUGAGCAACCUGCCCCCGACUCCGGGAUAAGCGGUGGAAACGCCGUCUAAUACCGGAUACGACACACCGCCUCAUGGCGGUGUGUGGAAAGUUUUUCGGUCGGGGAUGGGCUCGCGGCCUAUCAGCUUGUUGGUGGGGUAACGGCCUACCAAGGCGAUUACGGGUAGCCGGCCUGAGAGGGCGACCGGCCACACUGGGACUGAGACACGGCCCAGACUCCUGCGGGAGGCAGCAGUGGGGAAUAUUGCGCAAUGGGCGAAAGCCUGACGCAGCGACGCCGCGUGGGGGAUGACGGCCUUCGGGUUGUAAACCUCUUUUACCACCAACGCAGGCUCCCAGUUCUCUGGGGGUUGACGGUAGGUGGGGAAUAAGGACCGGCUAACUACGUGCCAGCAGCCGCGGUAAUACGUAGGGUCCGAGCGUUGUCCGGAAUUAUUGGGCGUAAAGAGCUCGUAGGCGGCGUGUCGCGUCUGCUGUGAAAGACCGGGGCUUAACUCCGGUUCUGCAGUGGAUACGGGCAUGCUAGAGGUAGGUAGGGGAGACUGGAAUUCCUGGUGUAGCGGUGAAAUGCGCAGAUAUCAGGAGGAACACCGGUGGCGAAGGCGGGUCUCUGGGCCUUACCUGACGCUGAGGAGCGAAAGCAUGGGGAGCGAACAGGAUUAGAUACCCUGGUAGUCCAUGCCGUAAACGUUGGGCGCUAGGUGUGGGGACUUUCCACGGUUUCCGCGCCGCAGCUAACGCAUUAAGCGCCCCGCCUGGGGAGUACGGCCGCAAGGCUAAAACUCAAAGGAAUUGACGGGGGCCCGCACAAGCGGCGGAGCAUGUUGCUUAAUUCGACGCAACGCGAAGAACCUUACCAAGGUUUGACAUCGCCCGUGG